UUCAUUCUGUAGAUAAUACACGCAUGGACCUGAUAAUCCCUGGGGAACAGUAUUUCUACCUGAAGGCCAGAAGUGUGGCUGAAAGACAGCGGUGGCUGGUGGCCCUGGGAUCAGCCAAGGCUUGCCUGACUGACAGUAGGACCCAGAAGGAGAAAGAGUUUGCUGAAAACACUGAAAACUUGAAAACCAAAAUGUCAGAACUAAGACUCUACUGUGACCUCCUUGUUCAGCAAGUAGAUAAAACAAAAGAAGUGACCACAACUGGUGUGUCCAAUUCUGAGGUAAAGGAGUCUUCCACUCUGGUUGUUUCGUAGGAGGGAAUUGAUGUGGGAACUUUGCUGAAAUCAACCUGUAAUACUUUUCUGAAGACCUUGGAAGAAUGCAUGCAGAUCGCAAAUGCAGCCUUCACCUCUGAGCUGCUCUACCGCACUCCACCAGGAUCACCUCAGCUGGCCAUGCUCAAGUCCAGCAAGGUAAAAGUCCAGCUCAGUUUGGCUGCAACAAGGCAUCAUGAAAAGUUUCAAAGUUUAUAAUGAAACAUCCUAUUAUACCAAUUCAUAAUUCAUUGGAAAGGUACAGUAGCUUUUUUCUUCUUGCUAAAAAUUAAAAAAAAAUAAGGAUAUUGUUAUUCCUUGUUUAAAAAAAGAUACUUUGAUCUUGUAAUGGUUUUUCUCAGGAUUUGAAAUAAUAUGGAAGUAAACAAUAUCUGACUUUCCUCUUUUGAGUUAGCCUGAAUCAACCCAGAGCAGACCUUUUAUUUAGCACUAAUAGGGAAGAUGUUGGCAUUUUCCCUAAGAUGGAUCUCACCCAUCACAUCUAGUAACUUUUAAUCUCUCUAGGGUGUACUGAAGGUAGAAACUUCUCUUGUAGAAGAAACUUCUCUCU
RNAcentral lists this small RNA (885 nucleotides) under Pan troglodytes (chimpanzee). Its description in RNAcentral is "retained intron". Lineage: Eukaryota; Metazoa; Chordata; Mammalia; Primates; Hominidae. The record is from RNAcentral.